AAAGAAUUGCAUGUUUGGUCACACACACACACUGUUGUUCACUUUUGCGUUCUUUUCUUUUUUUUUUUUUUACGUUGUGCGUAUGGAUUGUUUUCUGUGUGUGUUCAAAAGAAGAAGAAAGAAAAUGGGGGAAAUGAAAGAGAGAGAAAAGA
This 152-nucleotide non-coding RNA is filed under the name Platyophrya macrostoma. The record is from RNAcentral. Lineage: Eukaryota; Ciliophora; Colpodea; Cyrtolophosidida; Platyophryidae.